Molecule: non-coding RNA, 90 nt
Organism: Xenopus tropicalis (tropical clawed frog)
Lineage: Eukaryota; Metazoa; Chordata; Amphibia; Anura; Pipidae
Source: Rfam
UCCCCCUGCUGAGGUAUAUGGCUUUUUAUUCCUAUGUGAUUGCUUUCCUAAUUCACAUAGGGCAGAAAGCCAUGUGCUGCACAGGGGACA